CCUGCCCCGCCUUAACUGAUGACAUUCCACCAUUGUGAUUUGUUCCUGCCCCACCUUAGCUGAGUGAUUAACCCUGUGAAUUUCCUUCUCCUGGCUCAGAAGCUCCCCGACUGAGCACCUUGUGACCCCCGCCCCUGCCCACCAGAGAACAACCCCCUUUGACUGUAAUUUUCCAUUACCUUCCCAAAUCCUAUAAAACGGCCCCACCCCUAUCUCCCUUCGCUGACUCUCUUUUCGGACUCAGCCCGCCUGCACCCAGGUGAAAUAGACAGCCAUGUUGCUCACACAAAGCCUGUUUGCUGGUCUCUUCACACUGACUCGAGUGAAAUUUGGUGCCGUGACUAGGAUCGGGGGACCUCCCUUGGGAGAUCAAUCCCCCGUCCUCCUACACUUUGCUCUGUGAGAAAGAUCCACCUACAACCUCAGGUCCUCAGACCAACCAGCCCAAGAAACAUCUCACCAAUUUCAAAUCCGGUAAGCGGCCUCUUUUUACUCUUUUCUCCAGCUUCCCUCACUGUCCCUCAACCUCUUUCUCCUUUCAAUCUUGGUGCCACACUUCAAUCUCUCCCUUCUCUUAAUUUCAAUUCCUUUCAUUUUCUGGUAGAGACAAAGGAGACACGUUUUAUCCGUGGACCCAAAACUCCGGCGCCAGUCACGGACUGGGAAGGCAGCCUUCCCUUGGUGUUAAAUCACUGCAGGGACGCCUCUCUGAUUAUUCACCCAUGUUUCAAAGGUGUCAGACCACGCAGGGACGCCUGCCUUGGUCCUUCACCCUUAGUGGCAAGUCCUGCUUUUCUGGGGAAGGGGCAAGUACCCCAACCCCUUCUCUCUGUGUCUCUACCCCUUCUCUGCUUUUCUGGGGGAGGGGCAAGUACCCCUCAACCCCUUCUCCUUCACCCUUAGUGACAAGUCCUGCUUUUCUAGGAGGCAAGAACCCCCAAUCCCUUAUUUCCACACCCUGACCUCUUAUCUCUGUGCCCCAAUCCCUUAUUUCCACACCCCAACCUCUUAUCUCUGUGCCCCAAUCCCUUAUUUCCGUGCCCCAACCCCCCUUCCCACUUUUCUGGAGGAUAAGAACCCCCGAACCCCUUCCCUCCGUGUCUCUAUGCUCUCUUUUCUCUGGGUUUGCCUCCUUCACUAUGGGCAACCUUCCACCUACCAUUCCUCCUUCUUCUCCUUUAGCCUAUAUUCUUAAGAAUUUAAAACCUCUUCAACUCUCACCUGACCUAAAAUCUAAGCAUCUUAUUUUCUUCUGCAAUGCCACUUGACCCCAAUACAAACUUGACAGUAGUUCCAAAUAGCCAGAAAAUGGCACUUCCAAUUUUUCCAUCCUACAAGAUCUAAAUAAUUCUUUUCGUAAAAUGGGCAAAUGGUCUGAGGUGCCUGACAUCCAGGCAUUCUUUUACACAAUAGUCCCUUCCUAGUCUCUGUGCCCAGUGCAACUUCUCCCAAAUCUUCCUUCUUUCCCUCCUGCCUGUCCCCUCAGUCCCAACCCCAAGCAUCGCUGAGUCUUUCUAAUCUUCCUUUUCUACAGACCCAUCUGACCUCUCCCCUCCUUGCCAGGCCAAGCUACGUCCCAAUUCUUCCUCAGCCUCCGCUCCUCCACCCUGCAAUCUUUUUAUCACCUCCCCUCCUCACACCUGGUCCUGCUUACAGUUUCAUUCUGUGACUAGCCCUCCCCCACCUGCCCAGCAAUUUACUCUUAAAAAAGUGGCUGGAGCCAAAGGCAUAGUCAAGGUUAAUGCUCCUUUUUCUUUAUGCCAAAUCAGAAGUGUUUAGGCUCUUUUUCAUCAAAUAUAAAAACCCAGCCCAGUUCAUGGCUCGUUUGGCAGCAACCCUGAGACGCUUCACAGCCCUAGACCCUAAAAGGUCAAAAGGCCAUCUUAUUCUCAAUAUACAUUUUAUUACCCAAUCUGCUCCUAACAUUAAAUAAAACCCCAAAAAUUGGAAUCUGGUCCUCAAACCCCACAACAGGACUUAAUUAACCUCACCUUCAAGGUGUACAAUAAUAAAAAAAAGUUGCAAUUCCUUGCCUCCACUGUGAGACAAAGCCCAGCCACAUCUCCAGCACACAAGAACUUCCAAACCCCUGAACUGCAGCAGUCAGGCAUUCCUCCAGAACCUCCUCCCCCAGGAGCUUGCUACAAGUGCCAGAAAUCUGACCACCAGGCCAAGGACUGCCGGCAGCCCAGGAUUCCUCCUAAGCCACGUCCCAUCUGUGUGGGACCCCACUGCAAAUCGGACUGUUCAACUCACCUGGCAGCCACUCCCAGAGCCCCUGGAACUCUGGCCCAAGGCUCUCUGACUGACUCCUUCCCAGAUCUUCUCGGCUUAGCGGCUGAAGACUGACACUGCCCGAUUGCCUCGGAAGCCCCCUAGACCAUCAUGGACGCCGAGCUUCAGUGAUAGAUCACAACAAGAGAUCAUGAAGAGGGCAUGGCCGCCAUGUCAUUCUGGAGAGAGACAGAGUAAAACAAAGAAGGUGAUGGGCAAUAACCAGACACGGGACUGAGGCCAUCCAUGACCAGCCAGCCCUAGCCAACACACAACACACAAGCUGAUCACAGAUGCAUGAGUAAGCCUGAGACCAGCCAAGACCAGCCUAGAAUAGAACUGCUCAGCAGCAAUAAAAACUAAAUAAAUUGUUACCUUAAGCUACUUUUAGAGCUAUUUGGAAGUGUAUUUUUGUGCAGCUAACAUUUACUAGCAGAUAAAAUGGUGAUUGUUUAUCUCUGUUUUAUUGAUGUUUUAAGGAAAUUGUUUCUAUUAAAAGGAAAUAUCUGGUCUUUGUCACGUUAAAUCAGGUUUAGCCUGAAGUUGUCUCCUUAAAUUUGCGGCACAACUCCCACCCUGCAAUACUUCAAAUUGUUUCACCUUUUUUGACAGAACCAAGGUAUAUCUUAAAUGUACUUGAUUGAUGUCUCAUGUCUCCCUAAAAUGUAUAAAACCAAACUGUGCUCUGACUACCUUGGGUACAUGUUCUGAGGGUCUCCUGAAGGCUGUGUCACAGGCCAUGGUCUUUCAUAUUUGGCUUAAAACAAAUCUCUUCAAAUAUUUUAUGUAGUUUGACUCUUUUCCUCAAUAGAACUCAUCAUUUAACCAGUUAAGUAUUUUGAGUUAGUUUGGGAUUAAACACGAGAGUUUUGACAGGGAGCUGAAACAAUAGUAGUUUCAUCAAAAGUUGAUUCUUGGUGCAUGUAAUUUUCUAUUACAGUGAACACAGAUAAUAAUGAUGCAUAUGUCUUUACCUAGAUUAGAGAAAGGAAGAGAAAAAAUAAAAAUUUUGGAAAUGAGAUAAAAAGAUAUUGAUCUCACUGAUGUUUCUGAAUCUAAGACUGAACUCAAUUAUUAGUUGUAUUUACUGCUUAUUAGAUUUACUAAGAAAGUUCUUUAAGGUACUUACAGCCCUAAAAUUAUUUGCAAUAUUCAAUAGCAAGGGACUUAAAUACAGUCCUGAUUACUCCAUCACAAAAUGCCAAAAACAAUUAGGAUCUUAAAGGAACUACCCAAAUAGGUUUAAGAUAUCACUCAGGCCAUAAAAAUGUUUUUAAAAUUCACAUCACAAAAUAGCCAAAUGACAUAUCAGAAACAAAAGCAAAAAAGUCAUCCUAAUUCAAGGCAAUUACUUUAGCAAUUCAAAAUAAAAUGUUAAAAGUGACCAAAAAACAAAUGCAAAAUAUUUUAAUGACUUUAAAUGGCUGUAUAAUUUCCUCAUCACUUCACUUGGCAGAGUUAAGAUGGCAUUUAACCUAAGUUCACAUCAUUAAAAAAAACACUGCACCAUGAUGCUUUUCUUAAUAUGCAUUCUCAAAUUAGCAUACAGAGAAAAAUGAAACUAUAGUAGAGACGUAAAUUUAAUCCCUAUUUAGGUCACUAGGCAUUUAUUAGCCCCACCACAGGUUAAUACACUUGCAUUUGCAUCUGUUUCUAAAUGCUAAUUAUCUGACCUCAGAACACUCACUUAUGGGCUUCAUUUAUUGAAAAACAAAUCCCUAUGAUUUGAUCGUAGAGUAACUUUUAAUGUCUAACUUUACGUAGUAUAUUACAGUUUUCAAAACAUUUUUAUAAAAAGUAUUUUGUUUAUUUACAGCAACUAUAUAUCAUAGAUAUUAAUGUGUAUAUUUUGCAUUUAAGCAAGUUGGAGUUCGUAAGGUUGAAUUACUUGAAAUGUACAAAUAGAUAGUAGUGAAUAUUUAAAGUACAUUUUUAAAAAUAUGACCCAGAAAAAUAGGUGGCAUUUAAGAAAUAUAAGCAUGGUAUCUAUCUUACAUGUAUAUUAGGAGUGGACAGUUUUCUAAGAUUAGAAGCAAACAGUUGUCAAGCAAGGGUUCUAAUUUUUGUAAGUCUUGUGGGAAAGAAAGAUAAUAGAGGGUUUCAUUGCAAAGAUAUAAAACUACUCUAGAUAAUUUAAGCAAAAACUAAUCUAAUAAAUUGGGUUUUCCAAAUUAUUGAAACACCUUGAGAACUAGUGCCUGGGUAGGCCUGGAGAAAUGACUCCAGGAACAGCAUUACAGAACUCACCUGCCCAGUGGUAACAGUGCCCAGAUUGCUCUUCUCCAUUAUCCAGCCAGAGUUCCAGAUCAGCCUGAAUACUUCACCUCUGGGAAGACUUUGCAGAACCUCCAGAUUUAUGCCACCUCUAUAACCUGUGUAAUAUUAUUACAAUGCAUAUUAUGUUCUAUUUCACUUACAGUCAGCCCUCCUUAUCUGUGGGUUCCACAAACAUGGAUUCAACCCACAGUAAAAUGAAAAUAUUUGGGGAAAAAAUUAAUGUUUGAGUCUGUAUUGAACACGUAGACUUUUUCUUGUCACUGUUCCCUAAACAAUACAGUAUAACAACUAUUUACAUAGUAUUUACAUUAUAUUGGGCAUUAUAAGUAAUUAAAGAUGAUUUAAGUAUAUGGAAAGAUGUAUAUAGGUUAUAUGCAAGUACUGUGCCAUUUUAUAUAAAGCACUUGAACAUCACAGAUUUUGGUAUCAAUGAGGGGUGCUGAAACCAAUUGCCCAUGGAUACCAAGAGACAGCUAUAUUUGUUUCAAUGUGUACCUCUCCUUCUAAACUCAGUUCUUAAGCAUAUAGUAUCUUUAUAGCUAUACACCUAGUGUCUAUCAGACCCUAAACUAUGGUAGGCCCUCAAUACAUUUUAUUGUUAUAGGUAGAUAGAUAGGCAUGAGUAGGGCAGGAGAGGGCUCUCCCUCCACCCACUAGAAAUGUCAAGUGAUGUUUUAAAAAUUGUCACACUGCCUCUCAGAAAAUGAUAAUUCAGCAACCGGGGAGAGACAAUCUUCUGAUGGUCCACACCUAUUAACAUUAAAGUGUUAUUAAAGGCAGACCCCAGAAAGAAGAAACUUACUGGGCAUGCACAUUAAGAGAUAAAAACGGCAAAAUAUUAUCUUCCACGUACCCACAACUGGAAAAAAGGAAGAAAGCUUCAGGUGGGCAUAUGUACUCUUCCUAAACACACUGCGCAUGCUCACUUCCCAACUGUAGAGAGGGCUCUGCACAUACGGGAAGAAUCUCGGGAAAGAGGUGAACCUAUAAAAGGCCAAGAAUCAUGGUUGAACGGGACAUUUGACCUUCUCUCUUAAACCUUCAUGUGCCUGCUUGGGUCUCUUCCAACUGCACCUUCCUUUCUUUCCUGUUCUAAGGCCUUUUUAAAUAAACUUCCACUCAUGCUCUG
This 5680-nucleotide long non-coding RNA is filed under the name Homo sapiens (human). RNAcentral's name for it is "HSALNT0075661". Lineage: Eukaryota; Metazoa; Chordata; Mammalia; Primates; Hominidae. The record is from RNAcentral.